RNAcentral lists this transfer RNA (76 nucleotides) under Candidatus Curtissbacteria bacterium RIFCSPHIGHO2_01_FULL_34_40. RNAcentral describes it as "tRNA-Lys". It matches the Rfam family "tRNA". From Rfam's summary of the family: Transfer RNA (tRNA) molecules are approximately 80 nucleotides in length. Their secondary structure includes four short double-helical elements and three loops (D, anti-codon, and T loops). The record is from RNAcentral. Lineage: Bacteria; Candidatus Curtissiibacteriota. RNAcentral also lists the same sequence under 5 other names.
GGGGGUAUAGCUCAACUGGCAGAGCAAUCGCCUCUUAAGCGAUCGGUUCAGGGUUCGAGUCCCUGUGCCCCCACCC